RNAcentral lists this non-coding RNA (109 nucleotides) under Lotharella globosa. Lineage: Eukaryota; Cercozoa; Chlorarachniophyceae. The record is from RNAcentral.
ACCGCUCUUCGAUGUACCAAUGGCUGCCCGCCGAGUUCCGUGUGGACCCCCAAGGGAAAGUGUCGAUCGAGAGCUACAUCACGGGGCUGCACCCGAAGCACCACAGAGG